UACAGAGGUCCCAAGCGUUGUUCGGAUUCAUUGGGCGUAAAGGGUGCGUAGGUGGCGGGGCAAGUCUGGUGUGAAAUCCCGGGGCUCAACCCCGGAACUGCACUGGAUACUGCUUUGCUAGAGUACUGGAGAGGGAACUGGAAUUUACGGUGUAGCAGUGAAAUGCGUAGAUAUCGUAAGGAAGACCAGUGGCGAAGGCGAGUUCCUGGACAGUUACUGACACUGAGGCACGAAGGCCAGGGGAGCAAACGGG
Molecule: ribosomal RNA, 253 nt
Filed under: uncultured bacterium
Lineage: Bacteria
Description: partial 16S ribosomal RNA
Rfam family: Bacterial small subunit ribosomal RNA
Source: RNAcentral